CAUUAAUGAGAUGCGUUAUUUAGUGUGAUUUUUUAAAUUUUACUGUUUUGAACAGUUCAUUGUUAAAAUUCAAAACUUAGCCUUCACCCUCUUCUUUCCUUUUUUAAUGUAAUAAAGCAGUUUGGGAUUUAUUAGAGCAGAGCAAGAAGUCAAAUCACAUUCCAUUUUAUGUGGGGUAAGAAUCACUAGAGACAGAUUAUUUUUUAUGGGGUCCAUUCUUGAAUUUUCUUUAGCAAAAGAUUUUUAGUAAUUCAAAGUCUGAUGCAGUUUAGAUAUAUUACUUAACUUUAAAAAAUAAUAUUUUGAAUGUUUCAAGAGAACUCAGUUUAUAAGCCAUUUGGUUAUUAAUUACUCCGCCUUUUUUGGUAGAGAGAACUGAAGUUGAAGUUCUGUUUUAAGGUGCCUUUUUCAGAAGGGGCUGUUGCUGUUACAGGUCCAAGUUGAAAAAUCAAGACCUGAGUAGCAGCUGAUAAGUAUAAAGUCUGGUGAAAUAACAUGCUAAAUCAUAUUGCUAAUCCUAAUUUGUGACUGUGCUUCUCAGUAAAAAAGAAAUGUGAGCUAUGGUUAAACACUAAGCUACCAGUGAGAACAAAAUGCCUGGUAGAUGAAUUGGAGGAGUGGUAAACCAGUCUUUAUUGUCUAAUUUUAAGAGUCAGUGAUCUGAAAAAAUAAGGACAAAGGAGUUAAGAAUAGGAGGCAAAAAUAGCAUGCUGUUUACAUUUAAAAUACCUUUU
Molecule: long non-coding RNA, 734 nt
Organism: Phyllostomus discolor (pale spear-nosed bat)
Lineage: Eukaryota; Metazoa; Chordata; Mammalia; Chiroptera; Phyllostomidae
Exons: 2
Source: RefSeq, a predicted model, not a curated record